AGAGUUUGAUCCUGGCUCAAGACGAACUUUGGCGGCGUGCCUAACACAUGCAAGUCGAACGAAGCUUGACGAAUGAUUUCUUCGGAAUGAAAUCUGAUAUGACUGAGUGGCGGACGGGUGAGUAACGCGUGAGCAACCUGCCCUUCGGAACGGGAUAGUGUCUGGAAACGGACAGUAAUACCGUAUAACGUAUUUUUACCGCAUGAUAGAAAUACCAAAACUGAGGUGCCGAAGGAUGGGCUCGCGUCUGAUUAGAUAGUUGGUGGGGUAACGGCCUACCAAGUCGACGAUCAGUAGCCGGACUGAGAGGUUGAACGGCCACAUUGGGACUGAGACACGGCCCAGACUCUCUACGGGAGGCAGCAGUGGGGAAUAUUGCACAAUGGGGGAAACCCUGAUGCAGCAACGCCGCGUGAAGGAAGACGGUUUUCGGAUUGUAAACUUCUGUUCUUAGUGAAGAAUAAUGACGGUAGCUAAGGAGCAAGCCACGGCUAACUACGUGCCAGCAGCCGCGGUAAUACGUAGGUGGCAAGCGUUGUCCGGAAUUACUGGGUGUAAAGGGAGCGUAGGCGGGAUGCCAAGUCAGCUGUGAAAACUAUGGGCUUAACCCGUAGACUGCAGUUGAAACUGGUAUUCUUGAGUGAAGUAGAGGUUGGCGGAAUUCCGAGUGUAGCGGUGAAAUGCGUAGAUAUUCGGAGGAACACCGGUGGCGAAGGCGGCCAACUGGGCUUUAACUGACGCUGAGGCUCGAAAGUGUGGGGAGCAAACAGGAUUAGAUACCCUGGUAGUCCACACUGUAAACGAUGAUAACUAGGUGUGGGGGGUCUGACCCCUUCCGUGCCGCAGCUAACGCAAUAAGUUAUCCACCUGGGGAGUACGACCGCAAGGUUGAAACUCAAAGGAAUUGACGGGGGCCCGCACAAGCGGUGGAUUAUGUGGUUUAAUUCGACGCAACGCGAAGAACCUUACCAGGGCUUGACAUCCUACUAACGAAGUAGAGAUACAUCAGGUGCCCUUCGGGGAAAGUAGAGACAGGUGGUGCAUGGUUGUCGUCAGCUCGUGUCGUGAGAUGUUGGGUUAAGUCCCGCAACGAGCGCAACCCCUAUUGUUAGUUGCUACGCAAGAGCAUUCUAGCGAGACUGCCGUUGACAAAACGGAGGAAGGUGGGGACGACGUCAAAUCAUCAUGCCCCUUAUGUCUUGGGCUACACACGUAAUACAAUGGCGUUCAACAGAGGGAAGCAAAACCGCGAGGUGGAGCAAAUCCCCAAAAAGCGCCUCAGUUCGGAUUGCAGGCUGCAACCCGCCUGCAUGAAGUCGGAAUUGCUAGUAAUCGCGGAUCAGCAUGCCGCGGUGAAUACGUUCCCGGGCCUUGCACAAACCGCCCGUCA
RNAcentral lists this ribosomal RNA (1390 nucleotides) under uncultured bacterium. RNAcentral's name for it is "bacterial SSU rRNA". It matches the Rfam family "Bacterial small subunit ribosomal RNA". The record is from RNAcentral.